CCUACGGGAGGCAGCAGUGGGGAAUUUUGGACAAUGGGCGAAAGCCUGAUCCAGCCAUUCCGCGUGAGUGAAGAAGGCCUUCGGGUUGUAAAGCUCUUUCGCAAGGGAAGAAAACUUAGAUACUAAUAUUAUCUGAGGUUGACGGUACCUUGAUAAGAAGCACCGGCUAACUACGUGCCAGCAGCCGCGGUAAUACGUAGGGUGCGAGCGUUAAUCGGAAUUACUGGGCGUAAAGCGUGCGCAGGCGGUUUUGUAAGUCAGAUGUGAAAUCCCCGAGCUCAACUUGGGAACUGCGUUUGAAACUACAAGACUAGAAUAUGUCAGAGGGGGGUAGAAUUCCACGUGUAGCAGUGAAAUGCGUAGAGAUGUGGAGGAAUACCAAUGGCGAAGGCAGCCCCCUGGGAUAAUAUUGACGCUCAUGCACGAAAGCGUGGGGAGCAAACAGGAUUAGAUACCCUGGUAGUCCACGCCCUAAACGAUGUCUACUAGUUGUUGGUGGAGUAAAAUCCAUGAGUAACGCAGCUAACGCGUGAAGUAGACCGCCUGGGGAUACGGUCGCAAGNUUAAAACUCAAAGUGAGUAGAGNGNGAGAGAGCGAGACGACGACGAGGGAGGAGG
Molecule: ribosomal RNA, 618 nt
Filed under: uncultured bacterium
Lineage: Bacteria
Description: bacterial SSU rRNA
Rfam family: Bacterial small subunit ribosomal RNA
Source: RNAcentral